This 970-nucleotide ribosomal RNA is filed under the name uncultured fungus. Its description in RNAcentral is "eukaryotic LSU rRNA". The stretch from base 586 to 970 matches the Rfam family "Eukaryotic large subunit ribosomal RNA", at positions 1 to 383 of the family's 3401-position model. The record is from RNAcentral. Lineage: Eukaryota; Fungi.
GGAAGGAUCAUUAUUCAUAUAUGGAACAUAUAAGUGUUUCCUGACCCAAAACCUCUCUGUGUACUGAUCCAUGUUGCUUUCCCAGGUGGUUGGUUUUACUAGUUGUUUAACCCUUCCUGCUAGUUGAAUUUACUUUACUAUGUAGGCUCCUGGGAGAGGGCCUGUUCAAAGCAAACUAUUGAAUCAGCAGUCUGAGUUGGCCCAGUGCCAUAUUUUUUUGAAUGAAUUAAAACUUUCAACAACGGAUCUCUUGGCUCUCGUAUCGAUGAAGAACGCAGCGAAAUGCGAUAAGUAAUGUGAAUUGCAGAAUUCAGUGAAUCAUCGAAUCUUUGAACGCACAUUGCGCCUCUUGGUAUUCCUUGAGGCAUGCCUGUUCGAGCGUCACUGCAAACCCACUCAUAACUAUUAUGGUAAUGGUGGAUGUGAAGAGAGGCUACUAAUAUGCCUCAGUCACCCCAUUGAAAUAUAUAGGCAGGACAAUUAUCUUUAGCAAAGGACUUAGUAACUGUUUUGAAGACAUAUAUUAGUUUCUUGCUAGGACUUGGACUGACUUUUAUGGAUCUCCAUUAAAAACAAAUUCUGGGUUGACCUCGGAUCAGGUAGGGAUACCCGCUGAACUUAAGCAUAUCAAUAAGCGGAGGAAAAGAAACCAACAGGGAUUGCCCUAGUAACGGCGAGUGAAGCGGCAAAAGCUCAAAUUUGAAAUCUGGUACUUAUGGUAUCCGAAUUGUAAUUUGGAGAGGCAUCUUCCGAAGGGGUCCAGUCUAUGUUCCUUGGAACAGGACAUCAUAGAGGGUGAGAAUCCCGUUCAUGGCUGGAUAUAUUCUUCAGUAGGUAGUGUCUUCUACGAGUCGAGUUGUUUGGGAAUGCAGCUCAAAAUGGGUGGUAAAUUUCAUCUAAAGCUAAAUAUUGGCGAGAGACCGAUAGCGCACAAGUAGAGUGAUCGAAAGAUGAAAAGCACUUUGAAAAU